GCUUAGAGCUGUCACCCGGCGGUGCCCCGGGGUUGGAGCGGCGAGUCCUGGGUGAGGGGGAAACGCGUGCCGUCGGACAAGGCCGGGCAGCAGCUCCCUUUCCCUGCACAUUUGGAUAUCGCGAGAGAACUAAUCUCACAGCACAGCAAAGUGGCUCACUGUUAACACGCGAUAACAAGACGGGACGUUUCCUGCCCCUGUCUUGUGACGUCUGUGGAAAAGAGCUUCAUAGUUCACCUGAUUCCUCCUGCAGUCUUGAGAAAGACAAACAGUGCACCCGGAAAGAGGUUUGUGCAGAUAUUUUGCGUAGACGCAGUGAGGGGAGAUCCCCCCGGGCCAGGGCACCUUUUGUUCCUUGCGAGACGACGGUGGGCGGAUUGCGCCAGUCUUGGCACAAGGAAUGUCCCAGGGUCUUUUGUCUUUGAGAAAUGUGAACCUGGUCGCAAUAACCACACUGAUGUGUCGUUCAGGUAACUCUGACAGCAGUGUACAAACAUUACAACGCGCAUGUUCGCCUGGCCAAUUUCAACAACAAACGUCGUUUUUUUUUUAAACAAAGGUACCCCGCUCAGAUCUGAGCACUCUACUCGCAUAACGUGAAUCAUAAGAACGGCUGCGACAUACACAAAAAAGCUUAAAGUCGCCAUGGGGCACCUCUUCCGGCCUCUGCUGAUCAUCACCUGCGUUCCAUGGCUCCUCGGCGUUACGGCUACAACUUAUGCUCAAACUACUGAGUACUCCACCUCUACAACUCCUGCUACAACUCUUG
Molecule: non-coding RNA, 769 nt
Organism: Petromyzon marinus (sea lamprey)
Lineage: Eukaryota; Metazoa; Chordata; Hyperoartia; Petromyzontiformes; Petromyzontidae
Source: RefSeq, a predicted model, not a curated record